UGGUGGGUAGUUUGACUGGGGCGGUCUCCUCCUAAAGAGUAACGGAGGAGCACGAAGGUCAGCUAAUCCUGGUCGGACAUCAGGAGGUUAGUGCAAUGGCAUAAGCUGGCUUGACUGCGAGCGUGACGGCGCGAGCAGGUGCGAAAGCAGGUCAUAGUGAUCCGGUGGUUCUGAAUGGAAGGGCCAUCGCUCAACGGAUAAAAGGUACUCCGGGGAUAACAGGCUGAUACCGCCCAAGAGUUCAUAUCGACGGCGGUGUUUGGCACCUCGAUGUCGGCUCAUCACAUCCUGGGGCUGAAGUAGGUCCCAAGGGUAUGGCUGUUCGCCAUUUAAAGUGGUACGCGAGCUGGGUUUAGAACGUCGUGAGACAGUUCGGUCCCUAUCUGCCGUGGGCGCUGGAGAAUUGAGGGGGGCUGCUCCUAGUACGAGAGGACCGGAGUGGACGCAUCACUGGUGUUCGGGUUGUCAUGCCAAUGGCAUUGCCCGGUAGCUAAAUGCGGAAGAGAUAAGUGCUGAAAGCAUCUAAGCACGAAACUUGCCCCGAGAUGAGUUCUCCCUGACUCCUUGAGAGUCCUGAAGGAACGUUGAAGACGACGACGUUGAUAGGCCGGGUGUGUAAGCGCAGCGAUGCGUUGAGCUAACCGGUACUAAUGAACCGUGAGGCUUAACCUUACAACG
This 678-nucleotide ribosomal RNA is filed under the name Klebsiella oxytoca. RNAcentral's name for it is "partial 23S ribosomal RNA". It matches the Rfam family "Bacterial large subunit ribosomal RNA", at positions 2259 to 2925 of the family's 2925-position model. The record is from RNAcentral. Lineage: Bacteria; Pseudomonadati; Pseudomonadota; Gammaproteobacteria; Enterobacterales; Enterobacteriaceae.